RNAcentral lists this ribosomal RNA (503 nucleotides) under uncultured bacterium. RNAcentral describes it as "partial 16S ribosomal RNA". It matches the Rfam family "Bacterial small subunit ribosomal RNA", at positions 30 to 523 of the family's 1533-position model. The record is from RNAcentral.
AUCGAACGCUGGCGGCAGGCUUAACACAUGCAAGUCGAGCGGGGUGAUGGUGCUUGCACUAUCACUUAGCGGCGGACGGGUGAGUAAUGCUUAGGAAUCUGCCUAUUAGUGGGGGACAACAUCUCGAAAGGGAUGCUAAUACCGCGUACGUCCUACGGGAGAAAGCAGGGGAUCACUUGUGACCUUGCGCUAAUAGAUGAGCCUAAGUCGGAUUAGCUAGUUGGUGGGGUAAAGGCCUACCAAGGCGACGAUCUGUAGCGGGUCUGAGAGGAUGAUCCGCCACACUGGGACGGAGACACGGCCCAGACUCCUACGGGAGGCAGCAGUGGGGAAUAUUGGACAAUGGGGGGGACCCUGAUCCAGCCAUGCCGCGUGUGUGAAGAAGGCCUUAUGGUUGUAAAGCACUUUAAGCGAGGAGGAGGCUCUUUUGGUUAAUACCCAAGAUGAGUGGACGUUACUCGCAGAAUAAGCACCGGCUAACUCUGUGCCAGCCGCCGCCGUAA